Molecule: long non-coding RNA, 627 nt
Organism: Epinephelus moara (kelp grouper)
Lineage: Eukaryota; Metazoa; Chordata; Actinopteri; Perciformes; Serranidae
Exons: 4
Source: RefSeq, a predicted model, not a curated record
CCUCAUUGCAGUAAACGUUACUGAGGAAACACCACUCUUAAUCACUCUCGUGAUUAUUUCUCCCCGUAUUCAGCCAAUCACCGCAUGAGGGCACUCUAUAUGAGGAGGCUGUGUUCAGUCUGACUCUCUUGCUCGUUGGCUCCGAGACCGUCCACUUCCUGGUCGCCUCGCUUCCUUUCCCCGCUGCCACCUACGCAGCUUCCUGCAUUGCUGUCCCGGGCUGACGCUAACGACGUGCGCCGUUCCCCUGAGCUGUCUGGCUGUCCUCCUCCCGCUGCUGCACAGCGCGAGCUCUCCUCCGCUCUCGCUCAGGUGAUCAAACACCACCUGAUCGUUGCUGAGAGCCAAAGGUGGUGGUCCUGGUGUCCUGGGUGGUGGCUUCCCCUCUUUCUUUUGGUGUGCUGUGCGUCCCCUGGUCCUGGCUUUCCCUUCACUAAAGUGUGUGUGUGUGUGUGUGGCUGUCACGUGUGAUUGGGGUGACCUUAAUUUUGUUGGAUCCCUCACACCCUUGUCGACCCAUCUCCCUGCCAGUAAGCCUCAGUACUGAAAGGUCCCCCUUUCCUUACAUCCCUGUGUGGACGGUGUGUCUAGUGUGUUUUAGCGACGUAUUUUGUAAUAAAGCAUUGA